CUCCUCCCCGUCCCCCUCCCCCGUCCCAUUCGAAUAUGGAAGAACUUCAAGUGUCCCUUGAAACAGAUAACAGAGCCCUGUCUGGGAAUCAAGCCACAUCUUCCCUUUCAAGACCUGGAAGCCACCGUGGCCUGACAAGCAGUAAGAGACGCGAUAAUAAAGAGGACGAGCCACUCCAGGGCUGGAUUUCAUUUCCAGCUUAAUUAAAUCCAAGAAACACACCUGACCUCCAGCUUUGAAGAGCUGCCUCAAAAGCCAGGUGCCCUCGUCAGCUUGGGCUCACCCCGCCGAGAUUGUGGGAAAGGGGCCCAGAAGAGGGUGGAGGGAGGCGGAAGCCAACUGAGAUGAAACUGGAGGCAGGAAGCAAUAUCGCAGAGAAAGCUGUUUUAUCCGGUGGGUGAGAUCCGCUUGCCCUUCUGCUUAAAAGGUGAACAGGAGGUUCACCUGCAAAGGCGCUGAACUGAAAUUCCUCCCACGGCCCCUACGCCCCCGCCACCUAUCCCUCUCCUGCAAGCUGCUGCCCAUCCCUGCCCACACUGCUGUGGGAAAUUGGGUACCAAAUGUACUUGGUUAGCACAAGUCUCCACGGGGCCAUCAGUGCGCAUGGCUGGAGGGGUUUCCUGCAUUACACACUUGAUAUUGUUUCUGCUCCCUCAGCAAGGAUGUUGUGAUUCCGUACUGAUACCUGGGGUCCCUUUGUUCUCAGCUGUAGAAGCCAGUGAUUCCAUAAAGAGGUAAGAUCCUGGUCCUUUCUCAGGAAUUCCAAAGGAACGGCCUCCUCUGGUCUUUGCUUUCAUACCCACUUAGAACACAUUCCAGGGUUUGACAGGAGAGCAAAAUAGCAGAGAGAACCCUUGGGUCUGAGAAGCUGGCAGGGAAGAACAGAAGAGUCACCCCUCUUGAUGGCGGAUAACUAUUGAUGAACUUGAGCGGCUAUUGAAGCAUUGAUAACGGCUCACGGCAAAGUCAUAUGAUAUCCAUCGCAGAAGUCAUAGGCAAGAGCACCAAUGACUGUCAGAGCAGGGAGGAAAAGGGGGGCGAUGGUGUAAAGAACAUGGUGCUCACUCACGGCUGCGCAUAGUGGGUUUACGUCAGGACCUAAACCCGUGGUCUAGUGCCUUCCCACUUUCAGGGUGGUUCUUCUUCCUCAGUCAAGAUUCUCUGAGAACUCCUGCAAAGACGUGCCCAACACUGUGCCUCCUACGUGGUUCUAAAGCUGAUCAGCUGACUGUGAAGAUGAACCAUCACCACCCACACUGAGUGGACUUCAAUGGCUGAGGCCCAACCCACGCUCUACGUGACCUUGAGACAUCAAAACCAAGACUGGGACUCCUUCCUUAUGCCAGAUAACCAAAGGAAAGAGAUCGUGAUAGAAGGGCCACCAUUCAUUGCUAUUUUCUGAACGCAGUCCACACUGCCCACCAUUCUAGCACGAUCUAAGUAAGCCAGUUGCAUGGAAAUAACUGCUGUAAGAAACAUCAUUCAUCUGAUUGACCGGCAUCAUUUAUAGUGGCACAGGAAGCACGGUUCUCACAAAGAAAAACCAGAGACAGAACAGAGGCUGUCAGCCAUCUGACAUUUGGAAAGUGCCCAUCAGCCGCUCUUCAGGACCAAAGAAGGUGUGGCAUCGCUCUGAUGAAGAGGAAAGACAGAAGAACAAAGACAAGAGCCCCGUAGGCGAGACUGAGGUACAGAUGACUGAUGGAGGGACCUUUUUACAGAAGUGAAUGCAUAUUCCCAGAGAAGGCCAUGGGCAUCUGUGCAGAGAGUGAACGGUAUCCUUGAACUAUUUUCAAGUUUAAUAGACACUCAUCGACAUAGCAGAAAAAAAAAAUCAAGCUUUUGGUUUUGAACUUCAAGGCUGUCAACUCGGCGGUAAUUGAAGUUAACAUGUGCUGAAGAAUAAUUGAUAAAUUCCAAAUAUUUGUUAUGCAAGAACCCAUCAGGGAUAUGAUUCAUGGGAGUAUUAAAAACAAGUUUGAAUGAUGGAAAAUUUGGUCUUCUACAUCAAAGAAAGAAAGAUUUUAGAGCAAUGUUUAAAAUAUUAGCUUGUGAUUGUGCUAAGGCAAGGAACAGACAGGGGAGUGCGGUCAUAGCACGAGCACUUCCUGUGAGUCUGGCUGGACCGUCCCGGUCAUUACCCUGUGGUAGUCACUUCCAUGUUUGCCUUGUUUCAUUCUAUUGGUAAUAUUUAAUGCAGUCAUAUAAAUAUCCAGGAACAGCUGAAGAGGAGAUAGCUUAAAUACCCCACACUAAGGACACACACAGGCAGCUUACAUUACAGUCUACUUCAAUCUUGCAACUUCUGGAGUUUUCUAGCUUCAUGAUGCAUCUGAAUGGGCGGGAUGGAGAAGAUCCACCCACUAAUGACCUAAUGUUGUCUACACAGAACAAUUGUCAAUUGUGACCUGUCAGUGACUGAUACAUCUGUUCACCUUGAGUGUCCUGAAUAGAAGAACUUUCUCCUUGAGUACUAUUUCUCCCUGCUAUAGGGAAGAAAGGAGAAAUCAACAAACCAACCAACCAGCUCACCAGUUAACCUGCCAAACUGGCAUCCAUUCAUCCAACCAACCAAAUAGCCAGUUAGGCAAGCAAGUGAGCAAGCAAGCAAGCAGUAGGCAAGCAAGCAAGCAGGCAAGCAAGCAAGCAAAUAUCCAUCCAUCCAUCCAUCCAUCCAUCCAUCCAUCCAUCCAUCCAUCCAUUCAUCCAUUUAUCCAUCCAUCCAUUUAUCCUUCUAUCCAUCCAACCAACCAAACCACCAGCUAUCUAGACAGACAGACAGCUAGCCAACCAGCCAAAUGACAAGCCAGCUAACCAAUCAAUCUACUGCCAACCAAAAUAAAAACCCCAAACCACCAGUUCAGGCACCAAGUAUAGGUACUUAUAGGCACCCUCACACACAUCUAAUUUAGCCCUGUUUGUAAAGUGGAUGAGACAAGUGUUCGCUAUACUUUACAAAUGCGAACAUAGUGAACACGGACCUUGAUUAAUGUCAUAGAGGCAGUAAGUGCCAACCCAGAGUCCAGGUCAUGAAAUUAUGGUUUUAAGGGUGUCUUUUUGUAAAUACUUGGUAUCACACAGCCUUGUGAUCAGAGACUACAAGGGAAAACAAAGAUUUAAUUCCUCUUGUGCUAAGGGAGCAGGAGGAUUAGACUUCUGAGUAAAACCAAUUUUCCAUAUGUCGAGAAACACAGAUUAUCCAAUACAAGGAGGCAUCAUGGGGUGGGAGAGGGAGGCAGUGGCCUGGAGCAGAGAUAUGAUGAAGGUGUGGGCUUGCUUCAGUGAGCCUCACUGAAUGGGGGCUGAGAAGAAGCUUCUGUCUACCUCUAUCCAUCACCUUCAUUUCUAGUCUUAUGUCAGGACUUCUGUCUUUUCCUGAGGAGGUAUUAUGUAUACCAGACUGGAACAACAAUAGCCUAGAACUUCUAGAGAUUUCUUUUGCCUCUACCUCCUAAGUUCAGGAAUCACAGAUAUGGCCUACCACGUCUGGCUUGUGCAGUACUGGGGAUUGAACCCAGGGCUUUGUGCACACUAAGUAAACAGUCUACCAAUGGAGUCACGUCUCGCUGUCGUUUUAUCUUUUAAAAUACAUCUUAAGUUUUU
Rattus norvegicus (Norway rat) is the source of this 3603-nucleotide non-coding RNA. Lineage: Eukaryota; Metazoa; Chordata; Mammalia; Rodentia; Muridae. The record is from RefSeq and is a predicted model, not a curated record.